UACGUAGGUGGCAAGCGUUGUCCGGAUUUACUGGGCGUAAAGAGCGCGCUGGCGGUCGUUCAAGUCGCGUGUGAAAGCCCCCGGCUCAACUGGGGAGGGUCACGCGAUACUGAUCGACUCGAAGGCAGGAGAGGGUAGUGGAAUUCCCGGUGUAGUGGUGAAAUGCGUAGAUAUCGGGAGGAACACCAGUGGCGAAGGCGACUACCUGGCCUGUUCUUGACGCUGAGGCGCGAAAGCUAGGGGAGCAAACGGG
Molecule: ribosomal RNA, 253 nt
Filed under: uncultured bacterium
Lineage: Bacteria
Description: partial 16S ribosomal RNA
Rfam family: Bacterial small subunit ribosomal RNA
Source: RNAcentral